Molecule: long non-coding RNA, 320 nt
Filed under: Eucalyptus grandis
Lineage: Eukaryota; Viridiplantae; Streptophyta; Magnoliopsida; Myrtales; Myrtaceae
Description: long non-coding RNA (EGRA_LNC000355)
Source: RNAcentral
CCUCCGCCUCAGCCGGUUGCCUCCGUCGCCCCCGACGCUGACGCCGACGCCGACGCCCCUUCGCCUCCCUCUCGCGACCUCCGCUCCGCUCUCUCCCUCUUUCCUCUGCGGAGCGCCCUUACUGGCCAACCCCGACGCUGACGAACCCCUGCUCGCGUUUUGGACUCCCUCUCCGCGAGUGAAGGUCGCUCUGCUCGCUCUUUCUCUCUUUCCUCCACGAAGCGCCCCCUGCUCCUGAACACGGACGCCGCCGACGCCGUCGCCUCCCGCCGUCGCCUUCCCGAGCCCCACCGAUAGGCACCCUAGCAGAGGCGGAGGGG